This 468-nucleotide ribosomal RNA is filed under the name uncultured bacterium. Its description in RNAcentral is "partial 16S ribosomal RNA". It matches the Rfam family "Bacterial small subunit ribosomal RNA", at positions 28 to 507 of the family's 1533-position model. The record is from RNAcentral.
GACGAACGCUGGCGGCGUGCUUAACACAUGCAAGUCGAACGGUGAUGCUCCAGCUUGCUGGAGUGGAUCAGUGGCGAACGGGUGAGUAACACGUGAGCAACCUGCCCCAGACUCUGGAAUGAGCGCUGGAAACGGCGUCUAAUACUGGAUACGAAACUGGCCCGCAUGGGCAUGGUUUGGAAAGUUUUUCGGUUUGGGAUGGGCUCGCGGCCUAUCAGCUUGUUGGUGAGGUAAUGGCUCACCAAGGCGACGACGGGUAGCCGGCCUGAGAGGGCGACCGGCCACACUGGGACUGAGACACGGCCCAGACUCCUACGGGAGGCAGCAGUGGGGAAUAUUGCACAAUGGGCGAAAGCCUGAUGCAGCGACGCCGCGUGAGGGAUGACGGCCUUCGGGUUGUAAACCUCUUUCAGCAGGGAAGAAGCGAAAGUGACGGUACCUGCAGAAGAAGCACCGGCUAACUACGUG